This 492-nucleotide ribosomal RNA is filed under the name uncultured bacterium. RNAcentral describes it as "partial 16S ribosomal RNA". It matches the Rfam family "Bacterial small subunit ribosomal RNA", at positions 29 to 507 of the family's 1533-position model. The record is from RNAcentral.
AGUGAACGCUGACGGUAGGCCUAACACAUGCAAGUCGAGCGGCAGCACAGUAAGAGCUUGCUCUUACGGGUGGCGAGUGGCGGACGGGUGAGGAAUACAUCGGAAUCUACUUUUUCGUGGGGGAUAACGUAGGGAAACUUACGCUAAUACCGCAUACGACCUACGGGUGAAAGCAGGGGAUCUUCGGACCUUGCGCGAUUGAAUGAGCCGAUGUCGGAUUAGCUAGUUGGCGGGGUAAAGGCCCACCAAGGCGACGAUCCGUAGCUGGUCUGAGAGGAUGAUCAGCCACACUGGAACUGAGACACGAUCCAGACUCCUACGGGAGGCAGCAGUGGGGAAUAUUGGACAAUGGGCGCAAGCCUGAUCCAGCCAUACCGCGUGGGUGAAGAAGGCCUUCGGGUUGUAAAGCCCUUUUGUUGGGAAAGAAAAGCGGCAGGUUAAUACCCCGCUGUUCUGACGGUACCCAAAGAAUAAGCACCGGCUAACUUCGUG